This is a long non-coding RNA of Marmota monax (woodchuck), 801 nucleotides long. RefSeq lists it as uncharacterized. The transcript is spliced from 3 exons. NCBI's taxonomy places the organism in Eukaryota, Metazoa, Chordata, Mammalia, Rodentia, Sciuridae. The record is from RefSeq and is a predicted model, not a curated record.
GUGAUUCUAACAUGCAGCCAGAAUUGAAGGGUUGAGAGCUGAUACCCUCAGGAUCCUGAGAAGUUCUGAGAAGAAUGAGCAAUAAAAAGCCGAGGACUAGCAAAUACAAAUUGGUGCCUCAAAGCAAUAAAUUCAAGGGGAUGAUCAAUGUACUGAGCAGAGUUGAUACGUACGCUGAUAUUCUGGAGUUACUGUGGGAGUACCUGCCACUCAUCUCGCUGCCGCUCACAACACUGCUGGUUUCAGAGAAGAGCUCUGACUCUUGACCAUGGGUUACCUCUUCACCUAGAAAAGAACCACCACAUGCAGAUGAAAGAUUCCCUGCUAACACGCACUUACCUGCAAUGAGAUAAAUGGAUUACAACCAACUAGUAUGUGCUACUGCACCUGGCUUCAUUAACACACUUGGAAGCACACUCAAUCUCUCAAUGUGACAGAUGCGCAUACCCCCUCAGUACUACCAACAAGAAGGCCAUCAGCAAAUGCGGGCCCUUGAUCCUGAACCAGAACUAUGAGCCAAAAAAACCUCUUUUCUUUACAACCCAGUCUACAGGUAAGUGAUACUGUUCUAUUAGCCACAGAAAAUGGACUAGGAGAGAAAGGCAGGGACUAAAUAUACCAGUCAUUCCUUUAUUUCAAGCACUGCUGAGAAGGCCAGGGCCCUACUCAUCUACUCUCACAGACAUCCUCACCCUCUCCUCCACUCAAAGAAAUCAGACCCUGGUACUAACCCUAAUCCCUAGACCCCAAAGCCAGCAACCUGCCUCCACUCUUUCAGGCUGCUUAUACAUUUGGCCUUUU